This 706-nucleotide ribosomal RNA is filed under the name uncultured Bacteroidales bacterium. RNAcentral's name for it is "bacterial SSU rRNA". It matches the Rfam family "Bacterial small subunit ribosomal RNA", at positions 31 to 725 of the family's 1533-position model. Lineage: Bacteria; Pseudomonadati; Bacteroidota; Bacteroidia; Bacteroidales. The record is from RNAcentral.
GAACGCUAGCUACAGGCUUAACACAUGCAAGUCGAGGGGCAUCAGUUUGGUUUGCUUGCAAACCAAAGCUGGCGACCGGCGCACGGGUGAGUAACACGUAUCCAACCUGCCUCAUACUCGGGGAUAGCCUUUCGAAAGAAAGAUUAAUAUCCGAUAGCAUAUAUUUCCCGCAUGGGUUUUAUAUUAAAGAAAUUCGGUAUGAGAUGGGGAUGCGUUCCAUUAGUUUGUUGGCGGGGUAACGGCCCACCAAGACUACGAUGGAUAGGGGUUCUGAGAGGAAGGUCCCCCACAUUGGAACUGAGACACGGUCCAAACUCCUACGGGAGGCAGCAGUGAGGAAUAUUGGUCAAUGGACGCGAGUCUGAACCAGCCAAGUAGCGUGAAGGAUGACUGCCCUAUGGGUUGUAAACUUCUUUUAUAUGGGAAUAAAGUGGUCCACGUGUGGAUUUUUGUAUGUACCAUAUGAAUAAGGAUCGGCUAACUCCGUGCCGGCAGCCGCGGUAAUACGGAGGAUCCGAGCGUUAUCCGGAUUUAUUGGGUUUAAAGGGAGCGUAGGCGGAUUGUUAAGUCAGUUGUGAAAGUUUGCGGCUCAACCGUAAAAUUGCAGUUGAUACUGGCAGUCUUGAGUGCAGUAGAGGUGGGCGGAAUUCGUGGUGUAGCGGUGAAAUGCUUAGAUAUCACGAAGAACUCCGAUUGCGAAGGCAGC